UGCGAAGAAACGAGACAAAAUUGUACGAAGGACGAGCAGGUCAGAUAACCGGAGUACUUGGUUAGCAACACGAUCGUACGACUAUUACGAGAACGAUAACAAGCACGUAUGCGCCCGCCUCGGUAUCUGGGGUUAUCGUUUUCCUUUUUUCUUUCUUUCUGGGGCCAGCAGUGGAGGGGAGUGUUAACUGCCAAGGAUCAGAGCGGACCACGGGUCAUCGGAACAACUGUCGGACCAUCUCGAGACAGUAUCCAUUCAAAUUUCAUUUCUUUACAUCGAAAUACCUUUAAAUAUCCGUAGUAUUCGUUCUUACUUAGAAACAUGUACGGGCCUGUAUCCAAUCGACCGACCAUCGAACACUUGCUACGAAACACUCAACACUUGUACAUUUGUCGCGACUAUACUCGUUUAAAUCUAUACCAAUUAUUCGCCAACGACUCGAACGAAGGACCGAAUGAACGAUAAAGUUCGCCACAUCGAGGGUCUCCGUAUCCGCUGACGUCACGUCGACCCGACGACCUCACCGAACUUUGCGCCACAUUAACAUGCCGAUUUACAAGCGUUUAUGUGCGUUCGAUUUCCGCUCGAAGGAACAUUCAGAAUCAAAUGACGGCGUCACCUAAGAAACGUCGCUUGGUAACCAGCAUCAUCCGACACGCUGCAUCGACCAGAUCCGUUUGAAACAUUUCGAUUUUAAUUACGAUACACAGCUGUACGACGAUGAUCCGCAGGAAUUGGUCUCUAUCUCGAUCAUUCUCACAGGGUAAUGUCUGCGUUGACAAGUGGUCUUAAUUAAACGGAUUAAAAUACGAUCCAUCGUUGAUUCGUUUAUCGAAAACUAUCAUUAAAACUGCCUUUAUCUCAUGACAAUCGAUCGUUUCGAUUACGAAAACUAUAGUUCAAUUACUUGGAAAUGAUAAACUGAAACUGCACGGAUCGAGGCAGAUGUAAAUCCGCUGUUGCGUAAGGACGAUGCCCAAAGAGCCACUUGGGAGAGAGUGACAGUUAGAGUGCAUAGAGGUUAGAGGAAUAUAUAAAUUAAAAAAUAAAUAAGUCUAUUAUAUUUCAACGAAAAUCUUGUUAUUUUAUAAACAAUAAUGGUACAUCAAAGCAUCAGGACGCGUUAGAAAACGAUUAAUUCAACUUUAUUUUCUAACGUUUCGAAAUUCUCAAUUUAAAAAUUAUUCAUAAUAUCGUAGUUGUACCAGUGCUACUAUCGUACGGUAGCUCAGCGCAACUAGAACAUUACGUUAUAGUCGGUCGGUAAGUUCCUCGGUUGAUCAUAACCUAUAUGUUGAUUUCCGAAUGUAACGCGUAGAAAACAACAGUAACACUAACAUGUUACUCAUAGUUCAUAAAUCGUAUAGAUGAUUUCAACGUACGUUUAUUUACAUUUCCUUUCAGCGAUCCGCAAUGGCAAAGCACUCGAGGCUAAUUCAUACGCUUCCAUUAGAGAGUCUUUAUAAUCUACUCCUUUGAAUACAGUCUGCAAUAAAGGUUUCAGUGAAUAUCUACGUUUUUUGUAAUACAUGAAAGUGUCAACACUGUCGCAAAUGAUUCCAGGCCACCAUGGAUAACGAGGUACACGAGCCCACACAAUACUCCCAGCGUUGUAAUCAUUUUCUAUCAACGACCACUAUUCAUCUUGCAAUACCAUAUCUUGGGUAUAUCCAAUGGAUCGUGGCAAUCUUCUAUGUAUCUCCAUUUCUUGCAACUUGUUUUACAACACUCAACCCAUAUACCAACUUCUCUUUGAGACUGUAACCAGUACAAUCUCUGUUUCCAAUCUAAAUAGCUGUGGUUCUCCGACUCCACUAUGGUGUUUGAACUAGACACUAAAAAAUCUACCUUCUUCAACUGUUUUUUAUUCUUUACUGGCGCCCUCGGUGCUGCAACCGUUUUUAUUUCCAUCGGUGGCGUCUUAAAAAAUGACGAAUCAUUCGCGGAAGACUCGAACGAGUCUUUAUUAAAUAAAUUGAACUGGAAACAAUAAACGCAAAUGUACAUCGAUUCCUAAAACUUUAAUAAAUUUACGAGAAUUACGUUAAACUCGACAAUUUUUAUUUUGGUUCUUUCAUGAUACCUGUGAGAACAAAUUUCUGGAUACAUUACACAAUUCCACUCGUCCGAAUUGUGAUUUUGUA
Molecule: long non-coding RNA, 2144 nt
Organism: Hylaeus anthracinus
Lineage: Eukaryota; Metazoa; Arthropoda; Insecta; Hymenoptera; Colletidae
Exons: 6
Source: RefSeq, a predicted model, not a curated record